UACGUAGGAGGCGAGCGUUGUCCGGAAUCACUGGGCGUAAAGCGCGUGUAGGCGGAUGACUAAGUUUGCUGUGAAAGCGCCUGGCUUAACCGGGCGAGGUCGGCGAAAACUAGUCGUCUGGAGGCCGGUAGAGGGGGGUGGAAUUCCGGGUGUAGUGGUGAAAUGCGUAGAUAUCCGGAGGAACACCAGGGGCGAAAGCGGCCGACUGGUCGAGUACUGACGCUGAGGCGCGACGGCGUGGGGAGCAAACAGG
This 253-nucleotide ribosomal RNA is filed under the name uncultured bacterium. Its description in RNAcentral is "partial 16S ribosomal RNA". It matches the Rfam family "Bacterial small subunit ribosomal RNA", at positions 524 to 776 of the family's 1533-position model. The record is from RNAcentral.